CGAACACGCAGCACUCGGAAUCCUACUUCCUCUACAUGGAGAUGAAGUCAAGGGGAAUCCGACGAUCUUCGCUCUCACCGUACCUUCUCUUCCUCGUCCUCCUCGUGUCCCUAUCCAAAGCUUCUCCUUCCUCUUCGAAUGGCGAGCUGCCUCCCCCUGGCGUCGUCUCUCGCAUCGCCUUCGGUUCCUGCUCCAACCAGAGUGCGCCGCAGUCGAUUUGGGAUGCGGUCCUUGAUUUCGAUCCCCAGGUCUUCAUUUGGCUUGGUGACAAUAUCUACGGCGACAACAAACGCCCCUUCAGGAUUAUGGGGAAGGAACGGACUAUCGGGCCGUGGAAGAACGUGCCGAGAUUCUUCCCGUCGACGGAGGAGGAGAUGCGGAGAAGGUACUUGUUGGCUAAGGGCAAUCCGGGUUACUCUAAUCUGAGACAGACGGCUCAGGUUAUUGGUACAUGGGAUGACCAUGAUUAUGGGUUGAAUGAUGCAGGAAAAGAAUUCAGCAAGAAGGAAAUAAAUCAAAGGCUUCUUUUAGAUUUCCUAGAUGAAGCUGAAGAUAGUCCUCGGCGGCGUCAAGAUGGGGUUUAUACAUCCUAUAUAUUUGGUCCUAGUGGAAAACAAAUAAAGAUCAUUCUUUUGGAUACGAGAUAUCAUAGGGACCCCCUCUUCAGUGAUGGAACUAUAUUGGGAGAUUCUCAGUGGCAAUGGCUUGAGAAUGAGUUGUAUGGUCCUGAAUCAGAAAUUACAAUUAUUGCCUCUUCCAUUCAGGUAGUAUCAAAUCUUUCUGCAAUUACUUCUCCAUUGUUCUAUCCAGAGUCUUGGGGACGAUUUCCAAAGGAGAGAAAACGUCUGUAUAAACUGGUAAAAGAUAGCAAGAGAAGUGGAAUCUUCUUUAUAAGUGGUGAUGUUCAUUUUGGGGAGAUUACCCGUUAUGAUUGUGGGGAGCAGUAUCCACUGUAUGAUAUAACCUCGAGUGGACUUACUCAGGCUAUUGAAAAGGUUGUGCCAAAACUCUUUGCUUUCCUGGUGAGAGCUAUAGCAUGGUGGACACCUAGUACCAUGAGAGUGUAUUCUUCAGAAUGCCGAUACAGAUCAUGCACAUAUGCUCAGCCAAAUUUUGGGGCAAUUCAGAUCAUUUGGGAUGAGGUACCUCAAAGAAUCAGAGUUGAAGUGAGGGAUUCAAAUGGAGAUCCUGCUACUGCUAUAGAUAUCUUACUUUCUGAUCUGCAAUCCAUAGAUACAAACAAGAUCAUUGGAAGACCUAUGAAGUAUGAACAUCACUGCUUACUUGAAUCAGAACUUCCAUGUUUCUGGAGGCAUUCUUUUGCCUUCAUUGUCUUUGCAUCAAGUGCUGGUAUGGGUCACUCCUAUUCAUAUUGAAGUUAAAACUUGUGGAACAAUAACUGCAUCAUUGAAGAUACAUAUUGGACUUGAUCAGAUAAUGGCUCCCAAUUGUAGGUUUGCUCCUUGCUAUGAUUCUGUUAGCCUAUACAAUUGCAUCAGCUAGCAAGAAGUUCCUUUUGAAAUUCAAGAUUGAUUGAUCAUACGAGCUGCAAAAGAACACAGGAAAACUCCUGUUGUGCCAUCAAUUCAUUGGUCCGUUAAGCUCGUGGUCUGCUUCAUUCUUGUUUAAUGGCAUGGCCCAGUUUGACAUUAUAACAUGGUUUUGCAUAAUUGUUUGGAGCACAUUCAACUCAACUCCACAAUUUGUUCGCCCCUCAUACUCAUUUGGGGAUUUGCUUCAUAGUAUUUUCACCUGCCUCACAUGUUGAAUUCAUUCGUUUGUUGUAACUUUAUUGUUCUGGAAAUCAAGGUGAAGAAAAUUCAAUUGAGGCUCUGUCA
Zingiber officinale is the source of this 1838-nucleotide RNA transcript. It is a transcript of the gene named alkaline phosphatase D-like, with no coding region annotated. The transcript has 9 exons. Lineage: Eukaryota; Viridiplantae; Streptophyta; Magnoliopsida; Zingiberales; Zingiberaceae. The record is from RefSeq and is a predicted model, not a curated record.